UUAGUGUGGCCUCCCCAACUUCCUUAAGCCUGAAACCCUGUGCCAGAGAAAAGUCACGAAACUGUGGUCUAAAGGAUUCUGGAAAACAUGGCAGGACCUGAAAGCAGUCUGGGAAGCCCUGAUUCUUACUCCCUCAGGCAAGGAGAGAGAAACAAGGAUGGCUUGAUGUCUCAAAGGUGCAGAGGGGGCUGCAACAGCCAACGCAGGUUAUAGAACUCCUGAGAGUUGGAGGUGGUGUCGGGCGCUAAGCCCUCUACAAGCAAAAGAGGGAAGUUAACUCGAGCUGAGACCUCAACAAAUCAGGUCGUGAAGUUUAAGCACUGAAUCUAGGAGAAUUCAGAAGAGGAAAUUCAUUUUUUUCUUCUGUCCGCUGGGACUCUGUGAGACUGGGAACUCAUAGGCAACGUUUCUAAAGGACAAUAAGCAUGAUAAUGAGAAGUUGAAAAGAGGUGCCUUUGGUAAGGACAUAGGAUUUUCAAAACUGGCCUGUAAGGCUGGCUUAAAUCUUGUGUUUUUAAAAAGAGGAAUUUCUCCUCUUCAUUCAGAUGAUGGAGCCUUCAUAAUUUUUCUUCUGUUAUUUCCUCUGCCUGGAAAUUUUUGCCCAUGUCUUCACAUGCUAACACUAUUCUCUGUCCUUUAAGUAUUGGCCAUGUUUGUAGAUAGAACGUCUUAUUUCUUCUCUCUCCAAAUGAUCCUUUCUUUUUCUUAACCUCCUAUUGUAUUUCUAGCCUUUAAUUUUUAAUGGGAUUGGUC
RNAcentral lists this long non-coding RNA (753 nucleotides) under Capra hircus (goat). Its description in RNAcentral is "lncRNA (ENSCHIG00010026464.1)". Lineage: Eukaryota; Metazoa; Chordata; Mammalia; Artiodactyla; Bovidae. The record is from RNAcentral.